RNAcentral lists this small nuclear RNA (338 nucleotides) under Erinaceus europaeus (western European hedgehog). RNAcentral's name for it is "7SK RNA". It matches the Rfam family "7SK RNA". Rfam says of the family: 7SK was discovered as an abundant small nuclear RNA in the mid-70s but a possible function has only recently been suggested. Two independent studies have found that 7SK RNA binds the CDK9/cyclin T complex (known as elongation factor P-TEFb). Lineage: Eukaryota; Metazoa; Chordata; Mammalia; Eulipotyphla; Erinaceidae. The record is from Rfam by way of RNAcentral.
GGAUGUGAGGGUGAUCUGGCUGCGACAUCUGUCACCCUAUUGAUGGCUAGGGUUGAUUUGUUUGAUCUGGCUGGCUAGGAGAAUGUCCCCUUCUUCCCUCACCACUCCAAUGUGUGUCCCUCCUGAAGCUGUGUGCUCAAUCUGUCGGAAGAGGAUGGCCUUCUUCGAAUACAGACAGAGCAUUCUUUGGUAGAGGGUAUAUAAGUACCUGCGCUCCCCUGUUAGAACCUCCAAACAAGCUCUCAAGGUCCAUUGGGAGGAUAAUGUAGGAUAGUCAAGCUUCCAAGACUCCAGACCCAUCCAAAUGAGGCACUGCAUGUGGCAGUCUGUCUUUCUUG